UGGGGAAUAUUGGACAAUGGGCGAAAGCCUGAUCCAGCCAUGCCUCGUGUGUGAAGAAGGUCUUCGGAUUGUAAAGCACUUUAAGAUGGGAGGAAGGGCAUUAACCUAAUACGUUAGUGUUUUGACGUUACCGACAGAAUAAGCACCGGCUAACUCUGUGCCAGCAGCCGAGGUAAUACAGAGGGUGCAAGCGUUAAUCGGAAUUACUGGGCGUAAAGCGCGCGUAGGUGGUUUGUUAAGUUGGAUGUGAAAUCCCCGGGCUCAACCUGGGAACUGCAUUCAAAACUGACUGACUAGAGUAUGGUAGAGGGUGGUGGAAUUUCCUGUGUAGCGGUGAAAUGCGUAGAUAUAGGAAGGAACACCAGUGGCGAAGGCGACCACCUGGACUAAUACUGACACUGAGGUGCGAAAGCGUGGGGAGCAAACA
RNAcentral lists this ribosomal RNA (427 nucleotides) under uncultured bacterium. RNAcentral describes it as "partial 16S ribosomal RNA". It matches the Rfam family "Bacterial small subunit ribosomal RNA", at positions 355 to 774 of the family's 1533-position model. The record is from RNAcentral.